This 791-nucleotide ribosomal RNA is filed under the name uncultured Alphaproteobacteria bacterium. Its description in RNAcentral is "bacterial SSU rRNA". It matches the Rfam family "Bacterial small subunit ribosomal RNA", at positions 35 to 874 of the family's 1533-position model. The record is from RNAcentral. Lineage: Bacteria; Pseudomonadati; Pseudomonadota; Alphaproteobacteria.
GCUGGCGGCAUGCCUCAUACAUGCAAGUCGAACGAGGUCUUCGGACCUAGUGGCGCACGGGUGAGUAACAUGUGGGAAUCUACCUGAAGGUUCGGAAUAACUGCGGGAAACUGUAGCUAAUACCGGAUGUGUCUGCAAAGAGAAAGAUUUAUCGCCUUCAGAUGAGCCCGCACUAGAUUAGCUAGUUGGUGAGGUAAUUGCUCCACCAAGGCUACGAUCUAUAGCUGAUUUGAGAGGAUGAUCAGCCACACUGGGACUGAGACACGGCCCAGACUCCUACGGGAGGCAGCAGUAGGGAAUAUUGGACAAUGGGGGAAACCCUGAUCCAGCAAUGCCGCGUGAGUGAAGAAGGCCUUCGGGUUGUAAAGCUCUUUCAUCAAUGAUGAUAAUGACAUUAGUUGAAGAAGAAGCCCCGGCUAACUUCGUGCCAGCAGCCGCGGUAAUACGAAGGGGGCUAGCGUUGUUCGGAAUCACUGGGCGUAAAGCGUAUGUAGGCGGAUCAAAAAGUUAGAUGUGAAAUCCCUGGGCUCAACCCAGGAACUGCAUUUAAAACUAGUGAUCUAGAAUUUGGUAGGGGCCAGUAGAAUUUCCAGUGUAGAGGUGAAAUUCGUAGAUAUUGGAAAGAAUACCAGUGGCGAAGGCGACUGGCUGGGCCAUUUUUGACGCUGAGAUACGAAAGCGUGGGUAGCAAACAGGAUUAGAUACCCUGGUAGUCCACGCAGUAAACGAUGAGUGCUAGUCGCUGGGACAAUAGUUUCAGUGUCGAAGCUAACGCAUUAAGCACUCCGCCU